Molecule: ribosomal RNA, 705 nt
Filed under: Salmonella enterica
Lineage: Bacteria; Pseudomonadati; Pseudomonadota; Gammaproteobacteria; Enterobacterales; Enterobacteriaceae
Description: partial 23S ribosomal RNA
Rfam family: Bacterial large subunit ribosomal RNA
Source: RNAcentral
AUAGUGAACCAGUACCGUGAGGGAAAGGCGAAAAGAACCCCGGCGAGGGGAGUGAAAAAGAACCUGAAACCGUGUACGUACAAGCAGUGGGAGCACAGGUUUACCUGUGUGACUGCGUACCUUUUGUAUAAUGGGUCAGCGACUUAUAUUCUGUAGCAAGGUUAACCGAAUAGGGGAGCCGGAGGGAAACCGAGUCUUAAUUGGGCGUUAAGUUGCAGGGUAUAGACCCGAAACCCGGUGAUCUAGCCAUGGGCAGGUUGAAGGUUGGGUAACACUAACUGGAGGACCGAACCGACUAAUGUUGAAAAAUUAGCGGAUGACCUGUGGCUGGGGGUGAAAGGCCAAUCAAACCGGGAGAUAGCUGGUUCUCCCCGAAAGCUAUUUAGGUAGCGCCUCGUGAAUUCAUCUCCGGGGGUAGAGCACUGUUUCGGCUAGGGGGCCAUCCCGGCUUACCAACCCGAUGCAAACUGCGAAUACCGGAGAAUGUUAUCACGGGAGACACACGGCGGGUGCUAACGUCCGUCGUGAAGAGGGAAACAACCCAGACCGCCAGCUAAGGUCCCAAAGUCAUGGUUAAGUGGGAAACGAUGUGGGAAGGCCCAGACAGCCAGGAUGUUGGCUUAGAAGCAGCCAUCAUUUAAAGAAAGCGUAAUAGCUCACUGGUCGAGUCGGCCUGCGCGGAAGAUGUAACGGGGCUAAACCAUG